GGACUGGGCAGAUCCUCCACCCUGAGCCAUGCUGUAUGCAGUGCCCUGCCCAGAAGGUACUUAUCACUUAGCCUACGUGUAAUUAGUACCUGUCCGGGUAGAGUAAUGCUCAAGCAGACCAUCAUUUUUGGAGGCCUUCUGACCG
This is a microRNA precursor of Equus asinus (donkey), 145 nucleotides long. The record is from Ensembl. Lineage: Eukaryota; Metazoa; Chordata; Mammalia; Perissodactyla; Equidae.